GACGAACGCUGGCGGCGUGCUUAACACAUGCAAGUCGAACGGAAAGGCCCUGCUUUUGUGGGGUGCUCGAGUGGCGAACGGGUGAGUAACACGUGAGUAACCUGCCCUGGACUUUGGGAUAACUUCAGGAAACUGGGGCUAAUACCGGAUAGGAGCUCCUGCUGCAUGGUGGGGUUCGGAAGUUUUGGGUGGUUGGGGCUGGAGUGCGGCGUUAUCGGCUUGUGGGUGGGGGGGUGGCUAACAAGGCGUUUGAGGGAUGGCCGGCCUGGGAGGUUAGCCGGCCACCUUGGGACUGGGAUAGGCCCCAGACUCCUACGGGAGGCAGCAGUGGGGAAUAUUGCACAGUGGGCGGACGCCUGAUGCAGCAACGCCGCGUGCGGGAUGACGGCCUUCGGGUUGUAAACCGCUUUCGGCUGUGACGAAGCGUGAGUGACGUUAAUGGGUAAAGAAGCACCGGCUAACUACGUG
This 468-nucleotide ribosomal RNA is filed under the name uncultured bacterium. RNAcentral describes it as "partial 16S ribosomal RNA". It matches the Rfam family "Bacterial small subunit ribosomal RNA", at positions 28 to 507 of the family's 1533-position model. The record is from RNAcentral.